AUUCCAGCUCCAAUAGCGUAUAUUAAAGUUGUUGCGGUUAAAAAGCUCGUAGUUGGAUUUCUGCUGAGGACGACUGGUCCGCCCCCUGGGUGAGCAUCUGGUUCGGCCUGGGCAUCUUCUUGGGGAACGUAUCUGCACUUGAUUGUGUGGUGCGGUAUCCAGGACUUUUACUUUGAGGAAAUUAGAGUGUUUCAAGCAGGCCCGCGCCUUGAAUACAUUAGCAUGGAAUAAUAAGAUAGGACCUCGGUUCUAUUUUGUUGGUUUGCACGCCGAGGUAAUGAUUAACAGGGACGGUUGGGGUUCUUCGUAUUCAAUUGUUAGAGGUGAAAUUCUUGGAUUUAUGGAAGACGAACUGCUGCGAAAGCGUCGAACAAGGACGUUCUCAUUG
RNAcentral lists this ribosomal RNA (388 nucleotides) under Eukaryota sp. Its description in RNAcentral is "partial small subunit ribosomal RNA". It matches the Rfam family "Eukaryotic small subunit ribosomal RNA", at positions 582 to 975 of the family's 1831-position model. The record is from RNAcentral.